RNAcentral lists this ribosomal RNA (447 nucleotides) under uncultured bacterium. RNAcentral's name for it is "partial 16S ribosomal RNA". It matches the Rfam family "Bacterial small subunit ribosomal RNA", at positions 29 to 523 of the family's 1533-position model. The record is from RNAcentral.
AACGAACGCUGGCGGCAUGCCUAACACAUGCAAGUCGAACGCCCCGCAAGGGGAGUGGCGAACGGGUGAGUAACGCGUGGAAACCUACCCAGCAGUUGGGGAUAACCGCGGGAAACUGCGGCUAAUACCGAAUACGUCCUUAGGGAGAAAGAUUUAUCGCUGUUGGAGGGGUCCGCGUCGGAUUAGCUAGUUGGUGAGGUAACGGCUCACCAAGGCGACGAUCCGUAGCUGGUCUGAGAGGAUGAUUAGCCACACUGGGACUUAGACACGGCCCAGACUCCUACGGGAGGCAGCAGUGGGGAAUAUUGGACAAUGGGGGCAACCUUGAUCCAGCAAUGCCGCGUGAGUGAUGAAGGCCUUAGGGUUGUAAAGCUCUUUUACCGGGGACGAUGAUGACGGUACCCGGAGAAUAAGCCCCGGCUAACUUCGUGCCAGCAGCCGCGGUAA